Molecule: ribosomal RNA, 252 nt
Filed under: uncultured bacterium
Lineage: Bacteria
Description: partial 16S ribosomal RNA
Rfam family: Bacterial small subunit ribosomal RNA
Source: RNAcentral
UACGUAGGUCCCGAGCGUUGUCCGGAUUUAUUGGGCGUAAAGCGAGCGCAGGUGGUUUAUUAAGUCUGGUGUAAAAGGCAGUGGCUCAACCAUUGUAUGCAUUGGAAACUGGUAGACUUGAGUGCAGGAGAGGAGAGUGGAAUUCCAUGAGUGGCGGUGAAAUGCGUAGAUAUAUGGAGGAACACCGGUGGCGAAAGCGGCUCUCUGGCCUGUAACUGACACUGAGGCUCGAAAGCGUGGGGAGCAAACAGG